CCUACGGGAGGCAGCAGUGGGGAAUCUUGCGCAAUGGGCGAAAGCCUGACGCAGCAACGCCGCGUGCGGGAAGAAGGCUUUCGGGCUGUAAACCGCUUUCAGCAGGAACGAAAAUGACGGUACCUGCAGAAGAAGGAGCGGCCAACUAUGUGCCAGCAGCCGCGGUGAUACAUAGGCUUCAAGCGUUGUCCGGAUUUAUUGGGCGUAAAGAGUUCGUAGGCGGUCGAGUAAGUCGGGUGUGAAAAUUCUGGGCUCAACCCAGAGACGCCACCCGAUACUGCUUGACUUGAGUUCGAUAGGGGAGUGGGGAAUUCCUAGUGUAGCGGUGAAAUGCGCAGAUAUUAGGAGGAACACCGGUGGCGAAGGCGCCACUCUGGAUCGAUACUGACGCUGAGGAACGAAAGCAUGGGUAGCAAACAGGAUUAGAUACCCUGGUAGUCCAUGCCGUAAACGGUGGGCACUAGGUGUGGGUUUCUAUUAACGAAAUCCGCGCCGUCGCUAACGCAUUAAGUGCCCCGCCUGGGGAGUACGGUCGCAAGCUAAAACUCAAAGGAAUUGACGGCUGAGACCGNGCGAGACGACACGAGGAGAG
Molecule: ribosomal RNA, 592 nt
Filed under: uncultured bacterium
Lineage: Bacteria
Description: bacterial SSU rRNA
Rfam family: Bacterial small subunit ribosomal RNA
Source: RNAcentral